UCGAGCCCCGGAAUUAUUAACUUCUGUUUUCUAAUCUAGUGAACCUGAGGUUAUAGAAUCCGACUAGGAAGGUCAAAGCUAUCAGUUUUAUGUCACGCGGUAGUUAUGAGGUGCUACACGCAUCGCUCCUGUUCUUUUGUCCCCUCACUGGGGAGCUGCUUGAUGACUGCAGCUGCAGCAACUUCCCCCACUCUGGGAAACCUGAACCUGAAGCCAGACACUGUAUGAAAAGUCAGUACCUCUGACUGACUGUGGAUUUCAACUCUCUAGUUCUCGAGGCCAUUCAAUAGUGGCAUCUAAUCAGAAUCCCUUUUGCUCAAUCUGUGUUUCCUUUGUGGGGAAAAGGCCUGGUGAUCUCUUGAGAAGAGUCCAGGGGCUUCUGGUGGUGAGCGCCGGCGAAACCUGUUCCAAGACUAAAUAUCGGAAGCAGUCAGCCUGGCCACUGAAGGCAGAACUGGUUCCCCACGCUCUGCCGCCAGCCCUCAGCUUCUGAAAUACUGUGUUCUUGGUUAGGUCUCCAUUUGAUAAAAGAGACUUGAUGAAAGGAUGCUUCCUGAAAAGGCUUUGUAAUAAUUAAUCAGUCAUCACCUUCUUUUGCCUCCCCAAGGUUUUGGCACUGUUGAUCAGGCCUUCCUGCAAAUUCUCACUCUCUCUCUCUCUCUCUCCCCCUUUUUGGCUCAGGGACAAUAGGCUGACUUCUACAAUAGCCACUCCUGUCCUUUGUUCACUUCUGUUUGACACUCUUCCUCCCCAGAUGUGGAGGGGAUUCUUCAAAUUCAGGGCUCUGUGAAAAUUACCAGCUGCUACUGAGGACAACAGGACUCACCUCCUGAAAUCAAAACUUCAUGCCAUGCUGCUAUCAAGUUAAAUCAGGCAGAAUCCAUACAACAAAAUGCAAAGGAUGGUAUAUUUGGAACUAUCUGAAACAAUGUGGGUCAAGCGCAGCUUUGAAUGAAGACACAAGAGCACCAUUUUUUCCCCAGUUAAGUUUAAAAAGAUUGAUUUCUCAGCUAUGUUCAACUCUGCUAGAUACUGCAGGGCAUAUAAAAGCCAGGCUUAGCGAGUGACGACAGAGGUCAACAAUUUUGAGCAUUUACCGUCUGCAGAGCACUGCGAAAGAGAUAAAGAAGCAAAACACAAAAAUAUACAAGAAAUAUUUAUAGUUAAAAUGAAGCUAUACAUGAUUGCAUAUUCAGUGAAUGGUACAAAGGAUCAGAGAUGUGGUUAUUCUGAGUGAGGAGAGAAUAUUGUAGGAUGGAAGAUGACCCAAGAAGGCACACCUGGAAUAAUCUUUCCAAAAUGCCCGUCUGAUGGUAUCAGCCUGUCCCACCCCAUUAAAAAUUCAUCCUGGGAAUCAGGGAUUUUUCCAGCUCUACUUCUGCAGCCUCAUCUCUUGGGCUCUCUGUCUAGAAUUUGAGGCUCCCACCAUACUAAAAAUUGACCUGUUUCUCAAACAUUCUAGUUUGUACACCUCAGAACUUUUACUUGGGCUUUCCUUCUGCCUGGGGUGUUUAAAAAAUUUCUCUUGUCUUGCUAAUUCUUACAAAUUCUGAGAUAUGCCCUGGGUUCCAUAUCUGGGUUAGGUGCUUUCUUGUCCUAUUAAUUUAACUGCAAUGACCGUAGCUUCUUCCUUGUGUUACUCCGCCACGAGGCUCUGGUCACUGAGAGGUGAGCUGCAUCACAGUCCAUCUGAGGACAGGGACUGAGGUCCGGCAGAGCUUUGAGGUCACCAUAGGGUUCUCACAGCCCAAAAGGAACAGGCAAGUGCUGGAACAAGGCUGGGAAUGACAAUCAUUUUCCCAGCACCCUCCUUAGCCCUGUGAUGGGAACCCUAAAGCCAUGACCUCUUCCUACCUUUCUGUGAACUCUGCGAAGUUAUUAUUUUAUCCCCAUCUUAGAGAAGAAGAAACUGAGGAUCAGAAGCUUUAACUUUCUAAUUUGAGGUGACGUAGCUGGUCAGUUGUGAAACUGGAAUUUAAAUCAGGUCUGCUAGGCCCUAUGGGUUUGUUGGGGAAAUGUUUAUUUAUAUAUUUAAAUUUUUUUCAUCAUAUUGAUAAUUUGAAAAUUUAAGUCAGUGUGAUACUAAGCCCUUGGCAUGGAUAUACACACAAACACCAGAGAGGAGGUGCCAUAAUUAGGCUUGUCUCCCAGAGAAGGAGACUGAGGCUCAGAAAAUUUGACCAGGCCAAAGCCACCCCAGUAGCAGAAGGAGGGUGCAUAGGGCGUGAACCCCGGGCUGCAGGCUCUAGAGUUGGGUUAAUCAUCCAGCCUCUCAGGUUCGCUGCCUGGAUUCCUGUCCUGCUUUUUACGAUUCAUACAACUCUGGGUAAGUGACUUCACCUCUCUGAUCCUCUUUGUCCUCAUUUGUGGUUUUGAGGACUCAAUAUAAAAUCCUUAGGGCAGAGUCUGAUGUAGAGUAAAUAAUAAAGGUUAGCAUUUAUACCCUUCUUAUUAGUUAUUAUUAUUAUUGCUAAAGGUCUCAUUUCAUCAAAGAUCAAAUAUUUUCUUCUCUCUUUGAUAUAGCACAAUAUUAUUUUGGCAUCUUUAUUAUUUAAGAAAUUUUUGAGUCAAAAUUUUAUGAAGAAUGUUUCAAGGAAUCAGAAUUUGCAACAAUCAUUACUCGAUUUUGUGAUGAAUUGUUUUUCAAAUGAAAUUUCAGAGGCCAUGAAUUUUGACAAUUGAGGUGGUGGGAGAGAAAUAUGCCUUUUUCAAUUAGGAAUGUAUUAACGGGUUUACACGAAGCCUUGGAGAAAAAUCUAGACAGCAGCUGCAGGGUAAGGAACCAAGUCAAGGCCCAUGUCUGGCUUCCUUCACAAUUGAAUUUUUGCAUACGUGUUGGUGGAACUAUUCAGCGGUCUUCAUCAUCUUGUCUGUAACAAUUUGAGCAUUGGCCUCCCCUAAUUCUUGAUUUGACUUAAUGAGACGGGUUUGGAAUUUUUCUGCUUGGUCUUGGAGCUGUGUGUACCACAUCAAUACAAACCAGCUUCUUUGACCAAACCCAACUCUGGGGAUCUCUGGGGAUGGAAUUGGUUUGCUGAGUCAAGAAUCCAGGUAUCUGGUUGCUCCAGUAUUUCCUUUAUGGGCUCAAGGUCUGGAGAGAGGCUACAACUUCUCUGGGAGAACCCCAGGAAAAGCUCCUCUGCUUCCACAGAGGAGAGCCAAUUCCUCCUCUGCCUGCCUUCCAGCCCAGAGUCAACUGCUGAGUGCCGGCCAGUGCUCAUCUCUAGGGCUGUGUUACAUCUGCCUCCAUAGAGAGAGCUACUGUUUGCAUCAGAGUAGAUGCUAAAAUCCUUUCCAAAAGAGCAACAUGAUAAUGAGCUCAGAUAUAAAUGAAGUGCAAUAUCCAACACAUGAUUUUAUGUCAGUGUUACUCAGUGAUGAGGCUAUAAAAAAAAAAUGAAUUCUGUUGUGGUGAUAAUGUCAAUACUUUACACUGAAGGUUCAAAAACCCACAGUUUUUGAAGUGUUUCAAGCCAUAGGGAAUAAAAAUGGAAGUUUCCAGUAGCUUGUAUCUGCAAAGAGAAAGUGGAAAUUGAAAUAAAGAGGGCAGGCAACUGGGACUCCUGAAGCAAGCAGGCUUAUGUUCCUGAUUUUCAGUGCCUUAUUCAAUUUUAAUCAGACAAAACAAGUUCUUCAAAUGUGAGUCAAUAGCAUUAGCUUCUUAAUUGCUUCUAAAUUAUUUUUCUUUUUUUCUCCCAGACACUCUUAUAUGAUGUCAUGUUGAACCAUGGUUUUGUUUUCUUAGAAAUAGAUUUAUGCAGACUGCUCACCACCAUGGUACAGACGUUGCUGUGAGUACAAACUGGACGUCUACAUGUACACACACACAAAUUGUCCUGUAGAAUUUCAUCUCCCGCUGGAUGAACAAGCACUGUGAUAUCUGACCAGAUGAAGAGAGACCAGACGAUUCACAUAUGAAUGAAGCAAGCUGUAGAUGGAAGAACAGAGGACAUGAUCACGGCUGGAAGUCACGCUGGGAUCUAUACCAUGUAAUAUUAGCAGCCACCUUCAGAUCGGGCACACCCCAGCUGUUCGCUCUACAGAGCUUGCCUCCUCCUUUUCCUUUCCUGUCCCCUCCAGCAACCCUUCACACUAGCUUUCCUCAUUUUCUUUAAAAGGCAGAAAUGAAGCUAAAACCUUUUGUGUAAAGGAAAAACACGAUAAAGCAGAAGGCCAAAACCUAAGCAGUUAUUAAAAAAAAAAAAAAAAAAAGAUUUCGCUUUAAUAAUUAGGAAUCCUUUCCCUCCAAACCGGUACCACUUUAAAACACUUACUCUGCAUUUCAAAGACAGCCAUUGUCUUCUGUGCCUUUGGGAGCAGUUGAUAUGACCCUCCUGUUCUAGGGGAAGAACAAUGACAUAAAAACUUUUGCAUUAUUUAAUCUCCACUCUCUUGUGCUUGAUUUUUGUGUUUUGUUUGAAUAAAUGUAUAUCUAGUUAUGCUGUCACAGGACCGUCAGGCUCUGCAAAAUUUACAGAAGUGUCUACUCUUAAAAAAAAAUAAAAAAAACAACCCCCCACUUCCGCUUCUUAAUAUAUAAUUGAUUUGUGACUAUGAGCAACAUUACUUUUUCCCGUGGUGUAAUGAGGUGAACAAUGUCCUCCAGAGAGAUACGUACGGGUCCUCAUCUGUGGCUUUGUGAAUAUGUAUCAUUACCGUAUUGGCAAGGGAUGGGAUUGUUUUGAGAGGAAGUGCUUGUCCUGGAUUGUGCCAGUGGGCUCUCAGCACCAUCAUAUGCGUCUUUAUAAGAAAGAGGCACAGGGGGGCACCAGGGUGGCUCAGUGGGCUAAAACCUCUGCCUUCAGCUCAGGUCAUGAUCUCAGGGUCCAGGGAUGGAGCCCCGCAUCGGGAUCUCUGCUCAGUGGGGAGCCUGCUUCCUCCUCUCUCUGCCUGUCUUUCUGCCUGCUUGUGUUCUCUGUCAAAUAAAUAAAUAAAUUCUUAGAAACAAAGAAAGAGAGAGAGAAAGAAAGAAAGAAAGAAGUAGGCACAGGGAUUUUUGAAGGGAAGGAAGAAAUGUGACCACAGAGGCAAAGAUUAGAGUGAUGUGGCAAUAAACCACCAAAAGCUGGACGCAAGGAAGAGAUUCUCCGCUAGGAUGUCCAGGAAGAGUACAAACCCGCUAACUCAUCAAAAUUUUGGAUUUCUGGUCUUCAGAGCUGUUAGGGAAUUAAUUUCUGUUGUUUUAAGACACUAGUGUAUCAUACUUUGUUAAAGCAGCCACAGGAAACUAAUAUGUUUGGAUUCCUGAAAAUACUGUUACGAGUUAGCUGAAGUUUUUGUCUUCGUCUGGAUUCUGUAGAAAAUGGUGGCUAAGGAUUCAAGUGUGGAGGCUUACCAUGUAAAGCACACAAACCGGGAAGAGAACAAAGAAAGUGAAGCAUGGAGGAAUGUGAAGCCACGUAAUGGGAUCUGUUACCAUACUGGCUGCUGCUGGUUAGUCACCGCUGAGAGAGAAUAUUUUGCUCAGUGGGUGAAUCAGCUCAUCCUUUGGACUUCUCUGAAAAGCUACAAGGAGGAACCUUGUAGUAGUUCACGGAAAGGUGAAAGGAAUGAACAUUUGUCUGCCAGGCUCUAUCUCCUCUCCUGUCUCCUAAGGUCAAGGCUCACUGAUAAUACUCAGCUCUGAGUUGGGUGAUCCAGCCCCUCUGUGGUUGCUCAGGGAACCAGUGUACGGUACACAGUGUGCUAUGUCACACACGUCCAGGAGUAUGUACAAGCUUGGCAUGUGGCACACAAAGGCCAUUCAGGCUGGGGCUCUAAAUUGGAGAAAUGGUGCCCAUGUGGGUGACAGAUGACUGUGGUGGCCUAGUUCUGAGAGACAGAGGAAGAAAUUUGAGAAGGACGAAAGGUUUGUGCCUGGCACUCUCUCUGACACCUGGGGCAAACUGCUCAGACUCAUGAUCAUUACGGAAAGUGAUAGACACACAGAUGUGAUAUAUAUGCCACUUAAGUGGAGGUCUGAGAAAGGUGUGUCUUAGGAUGCUUUCCAUAUGAUAAAGCUUUAAAUAAAAAUAAGAUCAUUAAUUGAUA
Molecule: long non-coding RNA, 6030 nt
Organism: Mustela lutreola (European mink)
Lineage: Eukaryota; Metazoa; Chordata; Mammalia; Carnivora; Mustelidae
Exons: 4
Source: RefSeq, a predicted model, not a curated record